This 1068-nucleotide ribosomal RNA is filed under the name Bacillus sp. 3064O2. RNAcentral's name for it is "bacterial SSU rRNA". It matches the Rfam family "Bacterial small subunit ribosomal RNA", at positions 199 to 1252 of the family's 1533-position model. Lineage: Bacteria; Bacillati; Bacillota; Bacilli; Caryophanales; Bacillaceae. The record is from RNAcentral.
CAUAAAAGGUGGCUUCGGCUACCACUUACAGAUGGACCCGCGGCGCAUUAUCUAGUUGGUGAGGUAACGGCUCACCAAGGCAACGAUGCGUAGCCGACCUGAGAGGGUGAUCGGCCACACUGGGACUGAGACACGGCCCAGACUCCUACGGGAGGCAGCAGUAGGGAAUCUUCCGCAAUGGACGAAAGUCUGACGGAGCAACGCCGCGUGAGUGAUGAAGGUUUUCGGAUCGUAAAGCUCUGUUGUUAGGGAAGAACAAGUGCCGUUCAAAUAGGGCGGCACCUUGACGGUACCUAACCACAAAGCCACGGCUAACUACGUGCCAGCAGCCGCGGUAAUACGUAGGUGGCAAGCGUUGUCCGGAAUUAUUGGGCGUAAAGGGCUCGCAGGCGGUUUCUUAAGUCUGAUGUGAAAGCCCCCGGCUCAACCGGGGAGGGUCAUUGGAAACUGGGGAACUUGAGUGCAGAAGAGGAGAGUGGAAUUCCACGUGUAGCGGUGAAAUGCGUAGAGAUGUGGAGGAACACCAGUGGCGAAGGCGACUCUCUGGUCUGUAACUGACGCUGAGGAGCGAAAGCGUGGGGAGCGAACAGGAUUAGAUACCCUGGUAGUCCACGCCGUAAACGAUGAGUGCUAAGUGUUAGGGGGUUUCCGCCCCUUAGUGCUGCAGCUAACGCAUUAAGCACUCCGCCUGGGGAGUACGGUCGCAAGACUGAAACUCAAAGGAAUUGACGGGGGCCCGCACAAGCGGUGGAGCAUGUGGUUUAAUUCGAAGCAACGCGAAGAACCUUACCAGGUCUUGACAUCCUCUGACAAUCCUAGAGAUAGGACGUCCCCUUCGGGGGCAGAGUGACAGGUGGUGCAUGGUUGUCGUCAGCUCGUGUCGUGAGAUGUUGGGUUAAGUCCCGCAACGAGCGCAACCCUUGAUCUUAGUUGCCAGCAUUCAGUUGGGCACUCUAAGGUGACUGCCGGUGACAAACGCGGAGGAGAGGUGGGGAUGACGUCAAAUCAUCAUGCCCCUUAUGACCUGGGCUACACACGUGCUACAAUGGGCAGAACAAAGGGCAGCGA